UGGGGAAUCUUGGACAAUGGGGGCAACCCUGAUCCAGCGAUGCCGCGUGAGUGAAGAAGGCCUUCGGGUCGUAAAGCUCUUUAGGUUGGGAAGAAGUGUAUUAGGUUAAUACCCUGAUAUGUUGACGGUACCGACAGAAUAAGCACCGGCAAACUCUGUGCCAGCAGCCGCGGUAAUACAGAGGGUGCAAGCGUUAAUCGGAUUUACUGGGCGUAAAGGGCGCGUAGGCGGUUAUAUGAGUGUGAUGUGAAAGCCCUGGGCUUAACCUAGGAAGUGCAUCGCAAACGAUAUAACUGGAGUAUAUGAGAGGGUGGUGGAAUUUCCGGUGUAGCAGUGAAAUGCGUAGAUAUCGGAAGGAACAUCGAUGGCGAAGGCAGCCACCUGGCAUAAUACUGACGCUGAGGCGCGAAAGCGUGGGGAUCAAA
Molecule: ribosomal RNA, 425 nt
Filed under: uncultured bacterium
Lineage: Bacteria
Description: bacterial SSU rRNA
Rfam family: Bacterial small subunit ribosomal RNA
Source: RNAcentral